UACGUAGGGGGCAAGCGUUAUCCGGAUUUACUGGGUGUAAAGGGAGCGUAGACGGCGAUGCAAGUCUGAAGUGAAAGGCGGGGGCCCAACCCCCGGACUGCUUUGGAAACUGUAUGGCUGGAGUGCAGGAGAGGUAAGUGGAAUUCCUAGUGUAGCGGUGAAAUGCGUAGAUAUUAGGAGGAACACCAGUGGCGAAGGCGGCUUACUGGACUGUAACUGACGUUGAGGCUCGAAAGCGUGGGGAGCAAACAGG
RNAcentral lists this ribosomal RNA (253 nucleotides) under uncultured bacterium. RNAcentral describes it as "partial 16S ribosomal RNA". It matches the Rfam family "Bacterial small subunit ribosomal RNA", at positions 524 to 776 of the family's 1533-position model. The record is from RNAcentral.